Molecule: long non-coding RNA, 338 nt
Filed under: Solanum tuberosum (potato)
Lineage: Eukaryota; Viridiplantae; Streptophyta; Magnoliopsida; Solanales; Solanaceae
Description: long non-coding RNA (STUB_LNC008847)
Source: RNAcentral
GACAAAGCUCCAUUGUUUCCGAUGAAAAUAAUAUUCCAACAAAGUUAUUGAUUGUUUUUUCCCGACAAAAGUUCAUUAUUUUUUCAUGUAAUUGUGAUAAUGAUGACUAGUGAAAGAAGAUGAAGACCAUGAAUGAAAGGUUUAAUGCCAAAAGAAUGAAAGGUGAUUGAGGGGUUAGCUUAGAUGGAUAGCAAUGGUGUAUUAUUGACGCCGGUGAAAGGGAUAAGAUUCGAUUGAGAAGAAGAAAUGGGUGGAGGCUAUGAUUUAGUGGCAGUUGAGGUGCAGUGUCUCAAUGCUUAGGAAUUAAGAUCCGACACAUUGAAAAUGGAAAUAAGUAG